UAGAGUUUGAUCAUGGCUCAGAUUGAACGCUGGCGGCAGGCCUAACACAUGCAAGUCGAGCGGUAACAGGAAUUAGCUUGCUAAUUCGCUGACGAGCGGCGGACGGGUGAGUAAUGCCUGGGAAUAUGCCUUAGUGUGGGGGAUAACUAUUGGAAACGAUAGCUAAUACCGCAUAAUGUCUUCGGACCAAAGAGGGGGAUCUUCGGACCUCUCGCGCUAAGAUUAGCCCAGGUGAGAUUAGCUUGUUGGUGAGGUAAGAGCUCACCAAGGCGACGAUCUCUAGCUGGUCUGAGAGGAUGAUCAGCCACACUGGAACUGAGACACGGUCCAGACUCCUACGGGAGGCAGCAGUGGGGAAUAUUGCACAAUGGGCGAAAGCCUGAUGCAGCCAUGCCGCGUGUAUGAAGAAGGCCUUCGGGUUGUAAAGUACUUUCAGUCGUGAGGAAGGGUGUGUAGUUAAUAGCUGCACAUCUUGACGUUAGCGACAGAAGAAGCACCGGCUAACUCCGUGCCAGCAGCCGCGGUAAUACGGAGGGUGCGAGCGUUAAUCGGAAUUACUGGGCGUAAAGCGCAUGCAGGUGGUUCAUUAAGUCAGAUGUGAAAGCCCGGGGCUCAACCUCGAAACCGCAUUUGAAACUGGUGAACUAGAGUGCUGUAGAGGGGGGUAGAAUUUCA
RNAcentral lists this ribosomal RNA (675 nucleotides) under uncultured Vibrionaceae bacterium. RNAcentral's name for it is "bacterial SSU rRNA". It matches the Rfam family "Bacterial small subunit ribosomal RNA", at positions 1 to 671 of the family's 1533-position model. Lineage: Bacteria; Pseudomonadati; Pseudomonadota; Gammaproteobacteria; Vibrionales; Vibrionaceae. The record is from RNAcentral.